AUUAAACGCUGGCGGCAGGCUUAACACAUGCAAGUCGAGCGGUAGCACAGGGGAGCUUGCUCCCUGGGUGACGAGCGGCGGACGGGUGAGUAAUGUCUGGGAAACUGCCUGAUGGAGGGGGAUAACUACUGGAAACGGUAGCUAAUACCGCAUAACGUCGCAAGACCAAAGAGGGGGACCUUCGGGCCUCUUGCCAUCAGAUGUGCCCAGAUGGGAUUAGCUAGUAGGUGGGGUAAUGGCUCACCUAGGCGACGAUCCCUAGCUGGUCUGAGAGGAUGACCAGCCACACUGGAACUGAGACACGGUCCAGACUCCUACGGGAGGCAGCAGUGGGGAAUAUUGCACAAUGGGCGCAAGCCUGAUGCAGCCAUGCCGCGUGUGUGAAGAAGGCCUUCGGGUUGUAAAGCACUUUCAGCGAGGAGGAAGGUGGUGAGCUUAAUACGUUCAUCAAUUGACGGUACUCGCAGAAGAAGCACCGGCUAACUCCGUG
This 490-nucleotide ribosomal RNA is filed under the name uncultured bacterium. Its description in RNAcentral is "partial 16S ribosomal RNA". It matches the Rfam family "Bacterial small subunit ribosomal RNA", at positions 30 to 507 of the family's 1533-position model. The record is from RNAcentral.